This is a non-coding RNA of Xyrichtys novacula (pearly razorfish), 138 nucleotides long. The record is from the annotation of a GenBank genome assembly. NCBI's taxonomy places the organism in Eukaryota, Metazoa, Chordata, Actinopteri, Labriformes, Labridae.
GCUGUAGCUGGUGGGCUGUUGAUGACAGAUAUUCAUCUUUCUUUAAGAAAGAUGAAUAUCUGUCAUCAACAGAUGACAGAUAUUCAUCUUUCUUUAAGAAAGAUGAAUAUCUGUCAUCAACAGCCCACCAACUACAUA